Molecule: non-coding RNA, 1199 nt
Organism: Penaeus vannamei (Pacific white shrimp)
Lineage: Eukaryota; Metazoa; Arthropoda; Malacostraca; Decapoda; Penaeidae
Source: RefSeq, a predicted model, not a curated record
GAUUCGGACACCGCUAAGCAGUCGAGGCAAUUUGCUUAAUUAAUGCGAUUAUGGAGAACUUAUCUAUUCCAUGCAUAUCAUAAGUGAGUGUAUGAGGACUAACGAUUCGACAUGGAGUUAAGGCAAGUGAUUAUAUGUGUUUAUAAGAUGAUGUUUGAUGUCUGUUGCAUUAAAUGAUUAAGAACGCUAUACAAUUUUCGUGGGAGACAGAAAUCCAUUCAUAUUACGGAGAUAACAGGACGAAGCGGUUAGGUAAAACCACAACCCGCAUUGUGGAUAUCAUCAUGAUUUAAUCUAUUACAUUACAUACCCGCGAAUGAGAGAUGUAAAGUUUAGCAUAGAACUUUUUCUACUCGGGUCGUACGUCAGGCAGGCGCAGUCACGUGGCCGGCGAGCGGUACGACACGCUCUCCGGCGGCCGGCAGCAACGCUCAGCCCAUCACGCUAAUGCAGCACCGUUCUUGUCCGAAGAAAUUGGAAUGUGACAAACAAUACUGAAAUUAUCUCACAUCCUUUCACCGGAUACCACACAGAUACGUCUUGCAACUCGCCAUUCAUUUUGAGGGGAUAUUUAAAGAAGGCUUUGAUACAUUUAUCACUCUUUCCGAGGCGCCGGUUUUACAGGAAAGCGCCCUCGGUUUUACUCGGCAGUCCGGAGAAACGGACGCGGGUAACGGGUAAUGGACUCGUUUCCUAUCCGAAGGUGCCAGAGAUCGCGGGAUAUUAACGAUCCGCCUAUCCAAUUGCGGUCCAUCCCUCCCCCUCCCGUAUGGUCGUUUUCCUAACCCUCCCAGAAGGAAAAUUAUCGAACGUCGGGAAGCCCCAAAUAGACCUACACUUUUUUUUUAUUAUCGAUUCGAAGCGACUCCUAAGAAUCGGUAUCUGGCAACCCCCGGACCCGAACGGCAGACCCGAGUCGGGUAGCCGAGAGAGAGCGCGAGGGGGAACCGAGCCUAAUGAGUCUAUCGCAGUGAGACUAUCGCCGCGAAUGGAUUCCCAGCCCCCGAGUCGUUAAGUUUUGUGUGCAUUUCAGGUGAGCUCGCGUGUCGAAGUUGAAAGAGCAAAACAAAAAAAAAAAAGGCAAGUUUUGAGUGAAUGAAAGUUAUGGAUUGUCUCGGGAUCAUCAGCUGAUUCUUUGUGGACUCGCUUCGCUGAUAAACCGUGGCGCGUCGUUUGUUUUUUUGGAAAGAGGAUUUAAA